Moniliophthora roreri MCA 2997 is the source of this 88-nucleotide transfer RNA. It matches the Rfam family "tRNA". Rfam says of the family: Transfer RNA (tRNA) molecules are approximately 80 nucleotides in length. Their secondary structure includes four short double-helical elements and three loops (D, anti-codon, and T loops). NCBI's taxonomy places the organism in Eukaryota, Fungi, Basidiomycota, Agaricomycetes, Agaricales, Marasmiaceae. The record is from Rfam.
GGGCACAUAGCGUAGGGGUUAUCGCGUUCGCUUCGCAUUCCAUAUUGACGAGUGCGAAAGGUCCCCGGUUCAAUUCCGGGUGUGUCCA